UACGUAGGGUGCGAGCGUUAAUCGGAAUUACUGGGCGUAAAGCGUGCGCAGGCGGUUUUGUAAGUCAGAUGUGAAAUCCCCGGGCUCAACCUGGGAAUGGCAUUUGGGACUGCAUAGCUAGAGUUUGUCAGAGGGGGGUGGAAUUCCACGUGUAGCAGUGAAAUGCGUAGAUAUGUGGAGGAACACCGAUGGCGAAGGCAGCCCCCUGGGAUGUGACUGACGCUCAUGUACGAAAGCAUGGGGAGCAAACAGG
This 253-nucleotide ribosomal RNA is filed under the name uncultured bacterium. Its description in RNAcentral is "partial 16S ribosomal RNA". It matches the Rfam family "Bacterial small subunit ribosomal RNA", at positions 524 to 776 of the family's 1533-position model. The record is from RNAcentral.